Molecule: ribosomal RNA, 429 nt
Filed under: Gemmatimonadota bacterium
Lineage: Bacteria; Pseudomonadati; Gemmatimonadota
Description: Gemmatimonadetes bacterium partial 16S ribosomal RNA
Rfam family: Bacterial small subunit ribosomal RNA
Source: RNAcentral
UAGGGAAUCUUCGGCAAUGGACGAAAGUCUGACCGAGCAACGCCGCGUGAGUGAAGAAGGCUUUCGGAUCGUAAAACUCUGUUGUUAGAGAAGAACAAGGACGUUAGUAACUGAACGUCCCCUGACGGUAUCUAACCAGAAAGCCACGGCUAACUACGUGCCAGCAGCCGCGGUAAUACGUAGGUGGCAAGCGUUGUCCGGAUUUAUUGGGCGUAAUGCGAGCGCAGGCGGUUUCUUAAGUCUGAUGUGAAAGCCCCCGGCUCAACCGGGGAGGGUCAUUGGAAACUGGGAGACUUGAGUGCAGAAGAGGAGAGUGGAAUUCAAUGUGUAGCGGUGAAAUGCGUAGGUAUAUGGAGGAAAAACAGUGGCGAAGGCGGCUCUCUGGUAUGUAACUGACGCUGAGGCUCGAAAGCGUGGGGAGCAAACAGG